AGUGAACGCUGGCGGUAGGCCUAACACAUGCAAGUCGAACGGCAGCACAGUAAGUGCUUGCUCUUACGGGUGGCGAGUGGCGGACGGGUGAGGAAUACAUCGGACUCUACUUUUUCGUGGGGGAUAACGUAGGGAAACUUACGCUAAUACCGCAUACGACCUACGGGUGAAAGCAGGGGAUCUUCGGACCUUGCGCGAUUGAAUGAGCCGAUGUCGGAUUAGAUAGUUGGCGGGGUAAAGGCCCACCAAGGCGACGAUCCGUAGCUGGUCUGAGAGGAUGAUCAGCGACACUGGAACUGAGACAGGGACCAGGCGCCUACGGGAGGCAGUAGUGGGGAAUAUUGGACAGUGGGCGCAAGCCUGGUCCAGCCAUACCGCGUGGGAGAAGAAGGCCUUCGGGUUGUAAAGCCCUUUUGUUGGGAAAAAAAAGCAGCAGGUUAAUACCCCGCUGUUCUGACGGUACCCAAAGAAUAAGCACCGGCUAACUUCGUG
This 492-nucleotide ribosomal RNA is filed under the name uncultured bacterium. Its description in RNAcentral is "partial 16S ribosomal RNA". It matches the Rfam family "Bacterial small subunit ribosomal RNA", at positions 29 to 507 of the family's 1533-position model. The record is from RNAcentral.